UGAGUAACACAUAUCCAACCUGCCGUCUACUCUUGGACAGCCUUCUGAAAGGAAGAUUAAUACAAGAUGGCAUCAUGAGUCCGCAUGUUCACAUGAUUAAAGGUAUUCCGGUAGACGAUGGGGAUGCGUUCCAUUAGAUAGUAGGCGGGGUAACGGCCCACCUAGUCUUCGAUGGAUAGGGGUUCUGAGAGGAAGGUCCCCCACAUUGGAACUGAGACACGGUCCAA
Molecule: ribosomal RNA, 227 nt
Filed under: uncultured bacterium
Lineage: Bacteria
Description: partial 16S ribosomal RNA
Rfam family: Bacterial small subunit ribosomal RNA
Source: RNAcentral